This 465-nucleotide ribosomal RNA is filed under the name uncultured bacterium. RNAcentral describes it as "partial 16S ribosomal RNA". It matches the Rfam family "Bacterial small subunit ribosomal RNA", at positions 338 to 795 of the family's 1533-position model. The record is from RNAcentral.
CCUACGGGAGGCAGCAGUGGGGAAUAUUGCGCAAUGGGCGAAAGCUUGACGCAGCGACGCCGCGUGAGGGAUGAAGGUCUUCGGAUCGUAAACCUCUGUCAGCAGGGAAGAACGGUCACUGUGCUAAUCAGCAGUGAAUUGACGGUACCUGCAAAGGAAGCACCGGCUAACUCCGUGCCAGCAGCCGCGGUAAUACGGAGGGUGCGAGCGUUAAUCGGAAUUACUGGGCGUAAAGCGCUCGUAGGCGGUAUGUCAAGUCAAGGGUGAAGUCCCCGCGCUCAACGUGGGAACUGCCUUUGAAACUGGCAAACUGGAGUGUGUGAGAGGAUAGUGGAAUUCCAGGUGUAGGAGUGAAAUCCGUAGAUAUCUGGAGGAACAUCAGUGGCGAAGGCGACUAUCUGGCACAUAACUGACGCUGAGGAGCGAAAGCGUGGGUAGCAAACAGGAUUAGAUACCCGGGUAGUC